GGGGUUGUGGCUCAGUGAUGGAGUGCUCGCCUAGCAAGUGUGAGGCACUGAGUUUGAUCCUCAGCACCACA
This 71-nucleotide transfer RNA is filed under the name Marmota monax (woodchuck). RNAcentral describes it as "tRNA.Ala". It matches the Rfam family "tRNA". From Rfam's summary of the family: Transfer RNA (tRNA) molecules are approximately 80 nucleotides in length. Their secondary structure includes four short double-helical elements and three loops (D, anti-codon, and T loops). Lineage: Eukaryota; Metazoa; Chordata; Mammalia; Rodentia; Sciuridae. The record is from RNAcentral.